RNAcentral lists this unclassified non-coding RNA (376 nucleotides) under soil metagenome. RNAcentral describes it as "partial contains 5.8S ribosomal RNA, internal transcribed spacer 2, and large subunit ribosomal RNA". The stretch from base 1 to 120 matches the Rfam family "5.8S ribosomal RNA", at positions 35 to 154 of the family's 154-position model. The record is from RNAcentral.
GAUGAAGAACGUAGCGAAAUGCGAUAAGUAAUGCGAAUUGCAGAAUUCAGUGAAUCAUCGAAUCUUUGAACGCAUCUUGCGCUCCUUGGUAUUCUGAGGAGCAUGCCUGUUUGAGUGUCAUUAAAUUCUCAACUACACUGACUUUGAAUUGGUGUGGCUUGGAUUUGGGGGGAAAAUUGUUGUGGGCUUUUUGUAUAGUCUGCUCCCCUGAAAUUGAUUAGCGGUACCUUUGUGGAACUGUCUACAGGUGUGAUAAUUAUCUACAUCUUAGACAUCUGCUGGAAUGCUGCUUUCUAAACCUUACUUGUAUUGACAAUCUUGACCUCAAAUCAGGUAGGACUACCCGCUGAACUUAAGCAUAUCAAUAAGCGGAGGA